Molecule: long non-coding RNA, 599 nt
Organism: Chrysemys picta bellii (western painted turtle)
Lineage: Eukaryota; Metazoa; Chordata; Testudines; Emydidae
Source: RefSeq, a predicted model, not a curated record
UUCUGUCUGUCCUUUUGUCUUUCCUCGUCUCCUUUUGGAUUUUUAAAGGUUGCCCGGGAGAGGUAAAGUCGCUGCUGAUUUCAGCUUCCUGGGUUGCUGCUGUUUGCGGGAGAAGCAGCAGCGAGAAGAGGAGGGACUCUCUGGCUACGGCGAUCGUUAUGCUGAUGAGAGUCAGCAGCACGUGGUGUCUCAACCCCGUCCUCAUACUUCUGCAGCCUUCAAAAUAAAUAAAACAAUGUGCAUCCCCCACAGAAGAAGGAGCUUGCUUUCAGGCGAUCUCCCCCACCCGGGGACAGGACUAGAGGGAAUGACAGGACUGUCUCCGAUCUGUACUUCUCUCCGGGUUUUUCCAUUAACACAUUUUUUGUUUGUUUUGAAAAAAGCCUGGACUAUCUGGUUUGCCAACUAAUAAUACUUAAUAAUUUGGUGCCAAAGGUUUUUUUUUUUUGGUUGCUAAGACCCUGUCAGUCUAAAGCCUAAAACAUUUCCUUGAAUAAAUGAAAGCUAGAAAACCCGCCCUUCAGACUAUUAAGGUAAAGAGAGUCUGGUUUGUUUUCGCCCUUAAAAAAAAAAAGGCAGAUCUUAUUAAAAACAAUUUA